GAUAUUCCGUCCUCUUUAACUUUUUCAGGUUGUGUUCGGAGGUGGCGGACUGCUCGACUCAGAAUUAGACUCCGUCACCAUGCCGUUUUCUUUCGCUGUGAAGCGUUUAGGUGUCACGGUGCAGUCUGCUCUACGCAAACCGCCGUGAAUAAGCAAUCAUGUGCUAAAAGCUUGAUUUUUGAAGGUCUGGAAGCGGCGUAGCAUGAUUUAUGCUAGGUGGCUAGCCGUUAGCCACAAGUGAGCCUGGCGAACACGUGCAAGGAGAGCAAACUGGAUGCCACAGACAGCAGUGGACGAUGUGGAUUGAACAAGGAUCUUCACAGUUCAUUUUACUUAAAGAUGGAUGAUCCUGAUGUUUCACUCCACACUGACUAUGCAGGAAGAAGUGAAGGUGAAAAGGUGUAACUACAGCAAAGUGAGGACAGAAGUCCAAUGGAUGCACAGAUGACCGAAACCAGGUGUAAUCGGUAGGGACAUGGAAACGCACCACCCUUGUGACUGACCCAGAAGUCUGGAAGAAACCAUUCAUUGCUGUAGAUCUGCUUAAGUGAAAAUCAAAAAUGAUACUGUUUUAAAAAUUGUUUAUUAAAAAAGUGAAAAAUUCUAGUAAAAUGGCACAUUUAAGUAUUCAUAUUGGAAGUAACAAGUAUCCUCAUGGGGAGUGUCCAGCACGCAUCGACCAAUCUGUGUUGAAAGAUCUAUAGGAUUUCCUUUUCAGAUUUUCUAGAUAUAUCUGCUCCUCUUGGAGGUAUUCACGAUCCUGUGGGCGAGAGAAAAACAUUGUAUGUGUUGUGAAUGAGCCAAUGGUGGAACAACUCAUUUCCAAUAAAGACAAAUGAAGUAA
This is a long non-coding RNA of Solea senegalensis (Senegalese sole), 844 nucleotides long. RefSeq lists it as uncharacterized. The record is from RefSeq and is a predicted model, not a curated record. The transcript is spliced from 5 exons. NCBI's taxonomy places the organism in Eukaryota, Metazoa, Chordata, Actinopteri, Pleuronectiformes, Soleidae.